Molecule: long non-coding RNA, 880 nt
Organism: Oncorhynchus tshawytscha (Chinook salmon)
Lineage: Eukaryota; Metazoa; Chordata; Actinopteri; Salmoniformes; Salmonidae
Source: Ensembl
UGGGAGGAAAAAGAGGAUAGAGGGAGUGAAUAAGACGUGAGGAAAGACAGGAGGAGGGAUCAGAGACACAGGGGAGAGAGAAGAGAGGAGUAGAGAAGAGGAAGACGGGAUGGGAGAGGUGCAGAGAGAGAGGAGUAGAGGAAGGAGGACGGAACGGGAGAGGUGCAGAGAGAGAGAGAGGAGUAGAGGAGAGGAGGACGGGACGAGAGAGGUGCAGAGAGAGAGAGGAGUAGAGGAGAGGAGGAUGGGACGGGAGAGGUAGAGAGAGAGAGGAGUAGAGGAGAGGAGGACGGGACGUGAGAGGUGCAGAGAGAGAGAGGAGUAGAGGAGAGGAGGAUGGGAGGGGAGAGGUGCAGAGAGAGGGGAGUAGAGGAGAGGAGGACGGGACGGGAUGUGAGAGGUGCAGAGAGGGGGAGAGAGAGCGGAGUGGAGGAGAGGUGGAUGGGACGGGGGAGGUGCAGAGAGGGGGUGAGAGAGAGGAGUGGAGGAGAGGAGGACGGGACGGGAGAGGUGCAGAGAGAGUGGAGUAGAGGAGAAGAGUAGAGGAGAGGAGGACGGGACGGGAGAGGUGCAGAGAGAGAGAGAGAGGAGUAGAGGAGAGGAGAGGAGGACAGAACGGGAGAGGUGCAGAGAGGGAGAGAGAGAGGAGUAGAGGAGAGGAGGUCGGGACGGGAGAGGUGCAGAGAGAGAGCGGAGUAGAGGAGAGGAGGACGGAACGGGAGUGGUGAAGAGAGAGGGGAGUAGAGGAGAGGAGGCCAGGACUGGAGAGGUGCAGAGAGAGAGAGGAGUAGAGGAGAGGAGGACAGGACUGGAGAGGUGCAGAGAGAGAGAGGAGAGUAGAGGAGAGGAGGACGGGACGGGAGAGGUGCAGAGCGGGAGA